AUUGAACGCUGGCGGCAUGCUUUACACAUGCAAGUCGAACGGUAACAGGUCUUUCGGGAUGCUGACGAGUGGCGAACGGGUGAGUAAUGUAUCGGAACGUGCCCAGUAGUGGGGGAUAACUACUCGAAAGAGUGGCUAAUACCGCAUGAGAUCUCUGGAUGAAAGCGGGGGACCGUAAGGCCUCGCGCUACUGGAGCGGCCGAUAUCAGAUUAGGUUGUUGGUGAGGUAAAGGCUCACCAAGCCGACGAUCUGUAGCUGGUCUGAGAGGACGACCAGCCACACUGGGAUUGAGACACGGCCCAGACUCCUACGGGAGGCAGCAGUGGGGAAUUUUGGACAAUGGGCGCAAGCCUGAUCCAGCAAUGCCGCGUGCAGGACGAAGGCC
This 386-nucleotide ribosomal RNA is filed under the name uncultured bacterium. Its description in RNAcentral is "bacterial SSU rRNA". It matches the Rfam family "Bacterial small subunit ribosomal RNA", at positions 30 to 416 of the family's 1533-position model. The record is from RNAcentral.